Thalassophryne amazonica is the source of this 655-nucleotide long non-coding RNA. RefSeq lists it as uncharacterized. The record is from RefSeq and is a predicted model, not a curated record. The transcript has 3 exons. Lineage: Eukaryota; Metazoa; Chordata; Actinopteri; Batrachoidiformes; Batrachoididae.
UUCUGGAAACAUCAAUCAGAAUCUGAUUCCUCUCUGUUUCAGUCCCCAUCGCUCCUGCAAAUGUCGCAAACAGUCUGCAGUGUGAUACUUGUGACCCAACAACAUCUCAGUGCAGCAUUCCAAUACAAUGUGAAGGAGUGGAGGACCGCUGUGUCCAAACCACAGUGAUGAUUACACUUCUGAAUAGCGAUGUGCCCGUCUUUGGCUGCACGUCUUCAAACUUGUGCACAAGUGCUGCUGUGCUGAAUUCUCUACAAAUUCUGUCCAAUGUUGGGAGCAUCACCAGUGGACCCACCUGCUGCACCGGCAACUUAUGUAAUGCUGCAACCAUAACAACUACUGCACCAGCAACAACCUCAGCAUCAGCAACAACUACUGCACCAGCAACAACCUCAGCAUCACCAACAACUACUCUGACAAUGACGACAAAUUUCUCUCCAACACCAACAGUUACUCAGGCUGGAGCACUUCAGUGUUCCACUUGCUCAGGUUCAUCAUGUACAAACCCAGUCCUUGCCCUUUGUACUAAUGGAGAGCUGAUGUGUGUGACAGCGUCUGUAUCAGGUAGCUGUGACACACGCUGUUGUCUAUUUUUUAUUUUCAGGGAAAAUGUGUGUGUUUUCAAAACCCUUGAACAAAUAUCUCUGAUUUUCUA